AUGGGUGACCUCCUUCAUAGUGGCCACCUUUGCAGGAGUACCCACGUGGCACAGGAGGGCUUCAUAGCCUUCAUUGGCUUUCCUCUCAUUCCCAGUGGACAGCUGCAGAAUUCUGGAUGGGUCCCAGAUAGAUUAACUCAAAGUUGCAAACAUUUCUUCCUUCUCCAGGAACCCAGACACAGCACAGGUGUGGGGGAAUGUGAAGACAGUGGGCCUCAAGGGCUGGCCCCAGAUGACGAGUCUCUGAUGCCGGAAGUCCUAGCAAGUGCAUUUCCUGCAGGACUGAUACUGAGCUUAUCUGUUUUCAUGAGGGGCUGUUAUCUUGUAGGUUUGCGUCACUGUCUUCAUCUCGCUCCAGAGCACCAUUGGGGAAAUUGGGAGGAAUUUCCAUUAAAAAUGAGAUAGAGUUGAUUUUGAAAAGAGAAGAGCCUACCCUCUCUCAUUUCCUGACACUGAGUCAAGUGACUUCCAGUAAAGGUAGGAAGAUGAUUGACAUUCGUCUCCUUCUCUCUUUCUGCUCUGGUUCAGUGACCCCAAAACUGUAUCAGUCAGAAAAACAGGGCCUCUCACCCUCUAGGAGUGGGUUUCGUUUCUAUGAGGAGCUUCCAUGUUAACCUUCCAGCUCUGUGUCUUCCUAGCUCUCUCCCUGAUGUUGAGACAUUUCUGUUACCAGAUAAACAGAUGGAGGCUGAUGGUAACAGAGGACUCUGGGUGGGGUCCAGGAAGGAAGCCACCUGAUAGCAGUGCUAGGGGUGUCAUUCUCAUGUACUCCAUGGGGUCACCAAGCUGGAGAGGCAGAGGAGCCACAUUGUACAUCUGAGCUGUGUUGGGUGGAUGCUUGCUAGACCCUGAGAUCUAGGACAGGAGACAGGACAGCUUGGCUAGUCUACUCUUCACCUGAAGGCAUGAGAAAUGUGUUCAACCUCCUUAACCUUAUUUCUGUUUUGCCACCUGAUCUGUUAAGAAGUGAGUUGAAAGUUUUAAAAUUUCCUAUUGCUUUUUUCCUGUCAAUUAAUACUUCUACUUUGAGCGAGUUUUAUUUUAUAUAUGUAAUGGCUAUGUUACUUAGGACUUAGAAUGUAUGCCUGUUAACUGUUGCAUCCUGGAAGAUGAUGUUCUUCAUCAAAAUAUCACCUUCUGGAGUUCCCAUCGUGGCGCAGUGGUUAACGAAUCCGACUAGGAACCAUGAGGUUUCGGGUUCGAUCCCUGGCCUUGCUCAGUGGGUUAAGGAUGUGGCGUUGCCAUGAGCUGUGGUCAAAAAUGCGGGUGCUGUGGCUCUGGCGUAGGCUGGCAGCAACAGCUCCAAUUAGACCCCUAGCCUGGGAACCUCCAUAUGCUGUGGGUGCGGCCCUAGAAAAGGCAGAAAGACAAAACAAAACAAAACAAAACAAAUCACCUUCUGUGGCCCAGGAAUUCUUCCAGCCUUGAAUUUUAAUUUGGCUGAUAUUAAUUUUGUGAUAUUUAUUUUCUAAAUAAAUAAUUGCCAAACACAGCA
RNAcentral lists this long non-coding RNA (1495 nucleotides) under Sus scrofa (pig). RNAcentral describes it as "lncRNA (ENSSSCG00025030687.1, ENSSSCG00035037442.1)". Lineage: Eukaryota; Metazoa; Chordata; Mammalia; Artiodactyla; Suidae. The record is from RNAcentral.